Molecule: transfer RNA, 73 nt
Filed under: Camelus bactrianus (Bactrian camel)
Lineage: Eukaryota; Metazoa; Chordata; Mammalia; Artiodactyla; Camelidae
Also listed under: 2 other names
Rfam family: tRNA
About the family: Transfer RNA (tRNA) molecules are approximately 80 nucleotides in length.
Source: Rfam by way of RNAcentral
GAGGGUAUAGCUCAAGUGGUAGACCUCUUGCUUUGCAUGCACAAGGUUCUGGGUUCAAUCCCCAGUACCUCUG